RNAcentral lists this ribosomal RNA (945 nucleotides) under Leuconostoc mesenteroides. Its description in RNAcentral is "bacterial SSU rRNA". It matches the Rfam family "Bacterial small subunit ribosomal RNA", at positions 50 to 978 of the family's 1533-position model. The record is from RNAcentral. Lineage: Bacteria; Bacillati; Bacillota; Bacilli; Lactobacillales; Lactobacillaceae.
UAUACUGCAGUCGAACGCACAGCGAAAGGUGCUUGCACCUUUCAAGUGAGUGGCGAACGGGUGAGUAACACGUGGACAACCUGCCUCAAGGCUGGGGAUAACAUUUGGAAACAGAUGCUAAUACCGAAUAAAACUUAGUGUCGCAUGACACAAAGUUAAAAGGCGCUUCGGCGUCACCUAGAGAUGGAUCCGCGGUGCAUUAGUUAGUUGGUGGGGUAAAGGCCUACCAAGACAAUGAUGCAUAGCCGAGUUGAGAGACUGAUCGGCCACAUUGGGACUGAGACACGGCCCAAACUCCUACGGGAGGCUGCAGUAGGGAAUCUUCCACAAUGGGCGAAAGCCUGAUGGAGCAACGCCGCGUGUGUGAUGAAGGCUUUCGGGUCGUAAAGCACUGUUGUAUGGGAAGAACAGCUAGAAUAGGAAAUGAUUUUAGUUUGACGGUACCAUACCAGAAAGGGACGGCUAAAUACGUGCCAGCAGCCGCGGUAAUACGUAUGUCCCGAGCGUUAUCCGGAUUUAUUGGGCGUAAAGCGAGCGCAGACGGUUUAUUAAGUCUGAUGUGAAAGCCCGGAGCUCAACUCCGGAAUGGCAUUGGAAACUGGUUAACUUGAGUGCAGUAGAGGUAAGUGGAACUCCAUGUGUAGCGGUGGAAUGCGUAGAUAUAUGGAAGAACACCAGUGGCGAAGGCGGCUUACUGGACUGCAACUGACGUUGAGGCUCGAAAGUGUGGGUAGCAAACAGGAUUAGAUACCCUGGUAGUCCACACCGUAAACGAUGAACACUAGGUGUUAGGAGGUUUCCGCCUCUUAGUGCCGAAGCUAACGCAUUAAGUGUUCCGCCUGGGGAGUACGACCGCAAGGUUGAAACUCAAAGGAAUUGACGGGGACCCGCACAAGCGGUGGAGCAUGUGGUUUAAUUCGAAGCAACGCGAAGAACCUUACCAGU